UGGAGCAGUUGGUAGCUCGUCGGGCUCAUAACCCGAAGGUCGUAGGUUCAAGUCCUGC
This 58-nucleotide transfer RNA is filed under the name Clostridium botulinum. RNAcentral describes it as "tRNA-Met". It matches the Rfam family "tRNA", at positions 8 to 63 of the family's 71-position model. From Rfam's summary of the family: Transfer RNA (tRNA) molecules are approximately 80 nucleotides in length. Lineage: Bacteria; Bacillati; Bacillota; Clostridia; Eubacteriales; Clostridiaceae. The record is from RNAcentral.